This 497-nucleotide ribosomal RNA is filed under the name uncultured bacterium. RNAcentral's name for it is "partial 16S ribosomal RNA". It matches the Rfam family "Bacterial small subunit ribosomal RNA", at positions 28 to 507 of the family's 1533-position model. The record is from RNAcentral.
GAUGAACGCUGGCGGCGUGCCUAAUACAUGCAAGUCGAGCGAACAGAUGAGGAUCUUGCUCCUCUGACGUUAGCGGCGGACGGGUGAGUAACACGUGGAUAACCUACCUAUAAGACUGGGAUAACUUCCGGAAACCGGUGCUAAUACCGGAUAAUAUAUUGAACCGCAUGGUUCAAUAGUGAAAGACGGUUUUGCUGUCACUUAUAGAUGUAUCCGCGCCGCAUUAGCUAGUUGGUAAGGUAACGGCUUACCAAGGCAACGAUGCGUAGCCGACCUGCGAGGGGGAUGGGCCACACUGGAACUGAGACACGGUCCAGACUCCGACGGGAGGCAGCAGUAGGGAAUCUUCCGCAAUGGGCGAAAGCUUGACGGAGCAACGCCGCGUGAGUGAUGAAGGUCUUCGGAUCGUAAAACUCUGUUAUUAGGGAAGAACAAAUGUGUAAGUAACUAUGCACGUCUUGACGGUACCUAAUGAGAAAGCCACGGCUAACUACGUG